Molecule: non-coding RNA, 429 nt
Organism: Cinara cedri
Lineage: Eukaryota; Metazoa; Arthropoda; Insecta; Hemiptera; Aphididae
Source: the annotation of a GenBank genome assembly
AAUACCCUGCUAUAGUCUCCGAGGAAUUCUCCUCGUAAAAGAAUUUCGUUAGACACGGUGGAUUUCAGUGUAGAAUUCCUUACAUUGCAUUCUGUUGUACCUCUACUCAUACACGUCAUAAUAUAAUAAUACGAUCAAACUCUUAUGGUGCCGUCCGAAGACUGCAACCCAAUCUAAUUUACUUAUUUAAUUCUACCAAACCCACACGGCGACACAAUUGAAUUUUUAAAUAAAUAAUAAUAUCAAUAAUGAUAAUAAAAGCGGUGUCUCGUUACAUCUUCCACAGAGUUAUUUUCUUUUUACAAUUAAAUUCGUUUUUACAUCCCGAGUGUAACGACUAAGAAAUGUUUUUUUCCUCGGAAUAUACUUGAGUUUAAUAAAAAUGCACUAAAUUGAUUACAUCUUAGGCUUUAAUUAUACAACUUUAUU